ACGGCGAGUGAAGCGGCAAAAGCUCAAAUUUGAAAUCCCCCCGGGGAGUUGUAAUUUGAAGAUUGCGUCUUGGAGGCGACCGUGUCUAUGUUCCUUGGAACAGGACGUCACAGAGGGUGAGAAUCCCGUGCGGCACGGCCCCCGGCUCCUUAUAAGGCGCUCUCGACGAGUCGAGUUGUUUGGGAAUGCAGCUCAAAGUGGGUGGUAAAUUCCAUCUAAAGCUAAAUACAGGCGAGAGACCGAUAGCGAACAAGUACAGUGAUGGAAAGAUGAAAAGCACUUUGAAAAGAGAGUGAAACAGCACGUGAAAUUGUUGAAAGGGAAGGGCAUGCCGUCAGAUUGUCAGUGUGGGUAAGAAGCGGGGUACAAAGACUGUGGAACGUGGCCCUCGGGUGUUAUAGCCGCAGUUCAUGCCCCGUCUCUUUCCGAGGCCUGCUUUGAGGACACCGACGUAAUGACGGUACGCCGCCCGUCUUGAAACACGGACCA
Molecule: ribosomal RNA, 489 nt
Filed under: Kodamaea ohmeri
Lineage: Eukaryota; Fungi; Ascomycota; Pichiomycetes; Serinales; Debaryomycetaceae
Description: partial large subunit ribosomal RNA
Rfam family: Eukaryotic large subunit ribosomal RNA
Source: RNAcentral